AUUAGCGUGUGAGUGAUGACCUCCAGUGUGGGCAGUUUAAGUUAUAGCGCACCCCCUCCUCUCUCUCAGAUGGAGCUAAUUGUCUGGUGGCCAUUUUUGAGGAAGUGUUUCCAGGUAUGAGGGUUUUUUUUUGCCCUCUGGAUGGCCAUGUUCUUUUUUCCCUCUGUAUUUAUCUUUUUCUGCAUCCCUUCUCCUGGAUAAACUCCAAUCGGCCUAAUGAUGAAAGAAUAAGAUUAUCAACAAGAGAGAAAGAGAUCUGGUCCAAAGCGUUUUUUUUUUUUUUUCAGUCACAGAACUCACACACAGAUUCCAUUUUGUCAGCUUUCAGCUGGGCAUAAUAUAGCGAUAAAAGACUCUGCCCUGCAGCCACACUGAAUCACACAGAGCAAAGCGAGGCAGAGAGAUCAAGAAAGAGUCGAGAAAGCGAGAGAAAAGGAAAGAGAAGUCUCUUUGUGCUGUGUGUGCUCAUAUUGUAUGAAAAAAGAUGAAUCACUUCUAUUUAGGGAUCAGUUUCCUGAAACUGGACGGGUGAGACGAUUCCACGGGAGAUAGAUUGUCGGGACUUGCCUGUGUUUUUCUGAAGGGCUGGAGCUAAACGUCUGCAGUCGUGGUAAGGUGCUCCCUAAAGGACCGGCUCCUCAGACAGGAAGUAUCAACCUGGAGCAGAAAGAACAAAAAGGAAAAAAACCCUCCCCUCUCGUCUUUUCUCCUUGCACACCAUCCUCACAGCUGCGCACAGUUUGCAGUCUAUCCGAAGGGGGUGCGUUAUCAUUUCAUCUAAAUUCCUCCCCCUAGGCAAGUCAAUAAAAAUAUGUAGCGUCAAGACGUUUUUGAUUAGCUGGUCCUCAGGAUGGAUGAAGAUGUUUGGGGAGAGCUCAGGCUUUGAGCUACUAUGCACAAAUUCCGGCCUUCUUUGGCAGUAGCGCUGUGUUAUUGUGGUAAUGAUCAGGCCGAAUGUAUCAUGUAGGAAACGAUCAACCCCACCAGUGCGCUCUCCAUUAUCUCAGACUUCGUCUCUCCGAGCUGUCAUUAGGGCUGAACUCCCCCCAACGUGUCCUUGGCCACUGCGGCGAUGGAGCGCCUCUACUGUAGAUGGAUGAGUCGGAUUUUGAUUGACGUGCGGAUGCUGUCAGUCACAGCCUGGCUCAAUGUGUAGCAAACAGUGGUAAACUGUUCCAGAGAUCUAACUCUGCCCAGAUGGAAAUGUUUUAAAGAACUAAAAAGAGGAACUAACUGCCCAGCCACAGAUUACUCGGAGUGCGUCUGCUGUUCGUUUGUGGUGGUGGACAAGCAGUGAUGUCACACAGCUGAGGACAUUCCCACUCAAUAUGGAGUCUGGAGAGCGGCUGGCCUCGCCUUCCACCACCCCCGGCCUCCGUCCACCACCGCCACCUCUGCAUCAACAUCCUCCUCCUCUUCCUCUUCCUCAUCCACAGCAGCCUCCAAUGCCAAGAGCAGCCUGAACCACGGAACCACGGCCUUGCUUGGCACAUGCGGUAAGAACUUGUGCUCACACACACACACACACACACACACACUCUUUCAUGCCCUGACGCAAGGGUUGCUUAUUGUGCAGUGUGAAAAGUGCUCAAGUCAAAACUCACACACAGUCACACACCAGCACAUUUCC
This is a long non-coding RNA of Cyprinus carpio (common carp), 1630 nucleotides long. RefSeq lists it as uncharacterized. Lineage: Eukaryota; Metazoa; Chordata; Actinopteri; Cypriniformes; Cyprinidae. The record is from RefSeq and is a predicted model, not a curated record. The transcript has 3 exons.